RNAcentral lists this long non-coding RNA (559 nucleotides) under Homo sapiens (human). RNAcentral describes it as "HSALNT0232072". Lineage: Eukaryota; Metazoa; Chordata; Mammalia; Primates; Hominidae. The record is from RNAcentral.
UGAUGAUUGAGCUUGGCAGAUCAAUAGUUGGUGUUCAGAAACUCUCAAAAAUGUAUGGCAAAAAGUAAUAUCUUUUCAUCACUCAUAGUGAGGUCUCAUCUGACAUCCCUGUAACAAAAGACAGAUUAGCAAGAGAAAAGCAUAGAAAAUAAUUUAACAAUGUUUUAUAUGAUGCAGGAGCUUUCAGAGACAAAGACCUGAAGACCCAGAGAAAAAUGUGUUUUUAUGCUAAUUAUGAAGAAAGAAGUGAAUAAUUGUGGAGAAACAUGAUUGGACAAAAAGGAUAUGAUCCCAUGAUAAGAAAAUUAGUCUAACAAACAACAGAGUGAUUUUCUUGAGGACGUUAACAGAUGGGAUCUAGAACCCAGGUCUUCAGAGUCCUACCUCAGUGUCCUUUCUGCUACAAAUGCAGAUAGAUUGAAUUAACUCAAGACUCUGAAUUCUACCCACACCUGUUCCCUGGUAGCAAGAGCAGUGCUUGGCUCUCCGCAGAAUGCUAAGAACGGUGUGAAUGUAAACAGAUAUACAAUCGACAAGAUUUGACAGACAGAUUUUCAAC